AGGGGGAGGGCAGUGGGCCCCCAUGGAGCAACUUUUUUGCGGCGGACGGCUGCAGGGAGAGGCCAGCCCAGGUGCGGAGCAAUGCACAUAGCUUCUCCUGGCAAUUCUAGGAAACCUGCAUCUGACCCAGGUUUACUUCUGUCCUCCGUCACUCUCCGGUGUAACCAAGAAGUGGCGCCCAGGAUGGAGGUCUGCGCCCAGGACCAUGCGCGCAUGCAUAGCUCUGUGGAGCCCCUUCGCCAGUAGUUCCCUUCCCUCUUGGCGCAGGAGCAAAUCCUUGUUUUCAAGGGAACAGGAAAGCGAGGGCACUUCUGUGGGCAGAGCCCGUUUUCUGGCUCAGGCAGGCCUGCCGACAGCGGUGUUGCCAAUUCCUGGCAUUCAUAGUUUAAAAGAAAACGGGGAUGGGAGCAGAGAGAGAGAGAAAAUGUUGUUGUUUCAGGGAAUUUGCCCAGAUGAAUACACUUAUCAUGAUAGUUCCCCCCCCCCAUUGUGAUGUUAUUGAAGAUAAAGCUUAUGCUGGGUACUUUUUGAGUAGGGAUUGUCUUUUGGUCACACCUUCAUGGCUGGUUGAGUUGUAGUUACGGGUAGGUAGCCGUGUUGGUCUGACGUAGUCAAAACAAAAUAAAAAAAUUCCUUCCAGCAGCACCUUAGAGACCAACUAAGUUUGUCAUUGGUAUGAGCUUUCGUGUGCAUGAAUCUCCCAGGACAUUCUAUACAAGAUCCCUAAGUACCUGUCUUAUUACAAAAGAAUUUCAGAAAUAGACUGGAAAGAGAAGUUGCUGAACUGCAACUUAUUACCAAGCUUAAAACCAUGGAGAGACCUGGUCUGAAUAAAAUACAUUGGAUUCUUAUCUCAUUAUACAUGAUAAAGCUAUUUUUAGCCAUCUCACCCCUUGCUUUUUCCUGUAGGACCAAUUGCAGUCGUUAACAGCUAUCAGUCAGUCAAUCACCCAUUCCCACCACCCUUCUGAGUAAUACCCCUCCCCACCCUCACUAUAUACAGUAUAAGGGUCCGGUGACUUCUGUUUCAGUGUAUCUGAAAAAGUGUGCAUGCACACGAAAGCUCAAUACCAAUGACAAACUUAGUUGGUCUCUAAGGUGCUGCUGGAAGGAUUUUUUUUAUUUGGUUGAGUUGUGUUAAAGUGAAUCAAUCCUGCUUUUUCUAUUCCAACAGAGGUAGACAGCUUGAUCCUAUAAUUCAGGUUUGGCAAAACUCCUUACCUGGCUGCUUGCGACAAGAAUCUCCUCUAUUUGUGCAUGGAGGGAGGCUUUUGUUAAUACAAGAGCUUUCUUUUUCUUUCAUACUGUGCCACAAAUGACUAAUAUAGGUAUGUGUGUGCGGUCAGGCUAGUAACACUUGUGGCUUUUAAUCAUAAGUCAACUACAGGUUCACUUUAGCAGCUGUAGAAUAAAUAAUAGUUUGCAAUUUGAGACACGUAUGGGAAAAGUAAUUGAUCUCUUGCCAUAGUGAGUAUGGCAUUUUGUGUUGGGUCAUUUGUGGGUCUGUUUUCACUAUCAGCAUGUAAUAUACCUAUUCUUGAAUCAACCUUGGGUUGACAAUCUGUUUCCAGCUUCAGGUUAGCUAGCUUGGCAGGAAUGCAUGAAUUCAGAGUUGUUACUGUUGAUAGAAAUUGUUGUAAGUUUAGCUGGAGUUACUAGAUUGUUACAUAAGUUAUUGCUUGUAAACAAAAAAAAAAUGGAACUGAGGGAGCUGCCUUAUACUGAGUCAGAUCAUUACUCUGUCUAGCUCAGUAUUGUCUACAUUGACUGGCAGUGGGGUCUUGCAGGGUUUCAUAUAGAGGACAUUUCCAGACCUACCUGGAAUUGCUGAGGACUGGGCUGGCCCUGCUAACUGUACACAAAACAUGCUUUACGAUUGGCUUAUGGCCUGUCCUUUAGGCUGUUCAACUUGAAAUUCUUAUCUGUGUUUCUAUGGUUCGAUAUAGGAUGCACAAGUCUCAUAAAUGACUUAACACCUGCUCAUUGUCAUUUUUUGAGAUACCUCCUCUGAAUAGAAAUUAACCAAGUUUAUUUUAGGUCUCUGUCUGGCUAUUUCUGUGUGUUUUCAUAAGAAGUGGGGAAUUUUUAGGAAGCUCUAAGUUUAGGAAGCUCUGAGAACCCUAGAUCAAACAGAACAAACACACUGAUCCCAGUGCAACCUAAGUCAGUACGGGAUUGUUUCCCACAAUCUUCUAAAGAUUGUACAGUGGUACCUCGGGUUACAAACACCUCAGGUUACAGACACUUCGUGUUACAGACUCCGCUAACCCGGAAGUAGUACCUCGGGUUAAGAACUUUACCUCAGGAUGAGAACAGAAAUCGUGUGGUGGCGGCACAGCAGCAGCAGCAGCGAGAUGCCCCAUUAGCUAAUGUGGUACCUCAGGUUAAGAACGGACCUCCGGAACGAAUUAAGUUCGUAACCAGAGGUACCACUGUAUUCAGAUAUACUGUCCCAUCACAUUAGAGCUACAUUGGGCACUUCUGGCAAUGCAGCUGAUUCUGGGAGAAGUCCAAGCAAGAGCAUAUCAGUUGAACCUUCCAACCCUGGUGAGAAAAUGUGCAUAGAAAUUUUCUGCAAGCUUGCAAGUGAUUAUGCUUUGAAAGUCGACUUUACCUACGAACCAAUAUAUAGUACAGUAUGUCUAAACAUAGGGUUCAAUACCAUACCAUCAGAUGGCUUAGAAUCUUUUUCAUGGAUAUUCAGAAAUAAGAUCUUCUAGGGCAGGCAUGUCAAACCUGCGGCCCUCCAGAUGUUUUGGCCUACAACUCCCAUGAUCCCUAGCUAGCAGGAUCAGUGGUUGGGGAAGAUGGGAAUUGUAGUCCAAAACAUCUGGAGGGCCGCAGGUUUGACAUGCCUGUUCUAGGGCAUACCUCUGUGUGUGUGUAGCUGCAUAGGGGGUAGAACCUCAAGCAUCUUGAUGUAUCGGAGGCCUCUGAGCUCUGCUAAUGAAUGCAGUUAGAUUGCCAUUCCUUUUUCUCUACUUGACUCAACUUCAUAUUUGCCUAAAGGUUGCUGGUUGUGAGAUUUUGGGGGGAUAUAUUUUAAAAGUGAACCCUCCCCCAAUAUUUUAAUAAUUAAACUGUUUAUAAACUUUUCUAAAUAAAUUACUGAAACAUAGUUUGUUCUUUAAAGUGAGAUUCUUUACUUAUUUAAAUUAAAAGAUAAAGAGCCCUAACAGUCACCUGAUGCUGUGGCAUUAACAUUAACAUUGAAUUUGAAUUUUUGAAUUCAUUGUUUAGCAGUGCAUUUAUAGAUGGGGAAGUUCCUGGAUUCAGGAAGUGUUUCACUUUCUGGCUGAGCCAAACUACCGUAAGUGAAGGCCAUGUGAACGAAUCACCAUUCCCACUCAUCCCCUCAUUCCUUGGUUUGUGAGCUGCAGUAUUGCAGGGGUCAGGAGUUCUGUGUCACAUCUGUAUAUUCCUUCAACAUCCUUCCUGGCUUGAACUUAAGUAACUAGACUGCAUUGCAGGGUUGGAUUGAGACACGGGAAGCAUGCACAGCCACAGAUCUAAUGGCCUAGCAUACUGUUUUAAUGCUGAGGAGUGGAAACAGGGUCCCAUAGUUGUCCCUCUGUGCACAGGUACUGUGCCUGAAUAAGGAUGAAUUAUGUCUGGAUGGUUUCCUAUCUCUUGGUGUCAUUGCUUGGUGUGCAGUUCAGAAACUGAACUUUGUGAGUUGACAUUCAUUGUCAAUUUAUCUUCAGCAUGAACAAGCACACUGCAGAAUGUGGUAUGUAUGCCUCUCUGGAUUGUGGCCUAAUUCUUAGUGUUUGUAGAGCUAUAAGGUAUUUAAAGCACUUCACAUUUAUAAACUUGUAAUCCUUACAACAAGCUUGUAAUAUUACCGUGUUAUUAUCCUCUGUAAAGCAGAUGGAGUGUGUAGGGUGGGGGUGAAGUAGGCGACUAAGGCUGAGAGACUGGCUUGUUUAAGGCCACCUAGUGAGGUUAUUCCAGAGGUGAGAAUUGAACUAGGGAUUUUUGAUUACUGAUAGCUCAGUCUCUUAGUCAUUAUGCCUAACUAAUUGUAGCUGACACUUGUUGAGUAUUUAUUGUACAGGUGUGCUCUUUAGUUCUCUGUAUGAAUGUGCUUUAAGAUGUAGCAGUAUCAGAGAAGUAAAGUUUCAUAAGCCACAGACAUAACUCUAGGUCUCCACAGUCAAAACUCCUAGAGGGUGCUGCAGCCUUCAUUGGGGGAGUGUGCAGAGUCAAAGUGCUUGCUUAUGUAUGUCACAAUAUGUUAUCUACUGAUAAUGGGUACAUAAUUUAGCUAAAUAGACAAUUUUGUUGCUAAAUUAAUACUGUGAUUUGUUGAUUAUAUUAUAGGGAUGUCCACACACUCACCAGCAGCCACCUGCAAUAUAGAGAUAUACUCACCUGCCUUAAAGAAUGGUUGCAUGGGUUACUAAAAUGUAUGUGAAAAGUUUUGAAUAUUGUUAGACACAUGGAGUUACUACUUCCACAUGAACACACUGGGGAUUACAGAUUUCUACAUCUGAGUAAUUGCCUUCCUUUUAAAUUUACAGUUUUCUGAUUUACCGUAUAUUCUACUGAAUUCAGUAAUGCUUACUCCAGACUGGUGUGCAUAGUUUGUAAAACAUUGCAGCUUCAAUUUAGUAACAUAUUUUUGCAGUUUAUAUUGUUCCCACUCUGUGCUACAUUGUACAAAUUUGUUUUAUCAUUUGUACAGCAAUCCUAUACUGUAUACACCUGACUCUAAGGCCCAUUGAACUAAGUGGGACUUCCAACUGGGUUGUGCUGUAAUCAUUUUAAUUUCAUACCCUUAAUUUAAGGGGGGGGGACUAAAACCCUUUUUUCUAUGGCAUAAAAACAUUUAAAAUGUUACAUUACUUUCUCACUUUCUUGUCUUGUAUCAUCAGUUAAAAAUCGAUAGGUAAUGUAAGUAAAGGUAAAGGGACCCCAUUAGGUCCAGUUGUGAUUGACUCUGGGGUUGUGGCGCUCAUCUCGCGUUAUUGGCCGAGGGAGCUGGUGUACAGCUUCCGGGUCAUGUGGCCAGCAUGACUAAGCUGCUUCUGGUGAACCAGAGCAGCACACAGAAACGCCGUUUACCUUCCCGCUUGGAGUGGUACCUAUUUAUCUACUUGCACUUUGACGUGCUUUCGAACUGCUAGGUUGUCAGGAGCUGGGACCGAGCAACGGGAGCUCACCCUGUAGCAGGAUUCGAACCGCCGACCUCCUGAUCAGCAAACCCUAGGCUCUGUGGUUUAACCCACAGCGCCACCUGCACCCCGCAGGUAGUGUAGCAGUGAGAAAUUAAUGUAAGCAGACUUGAGUUGGUGAUGUAGUGGUAUGGCAGAAGCCUAUUAGUUCAUUCAGCACAUUGAGAUAUAGCUCUGAUUUCUGUUGGAUGAUUCUGCCUCUUCUGUGGUUUACAAGAACUUUUAGAGCGAAUGAAGAUACUGCUUGUUUGACAAGAGGCGACACUUCUGCUUGGAUUCCUUGGUGGGCUGUCCUUUCCUUUUGCCUAUUCCAUUUAGAGCCUGGAGGUGUAGAUGCAUUUGCAUCCCCUGUUAAAAUCUGAGAUAUGAAAGCUAGGAGCUAAAUGGCACCUUGAACCUAGGUUAUUGGCACAACAACGGAAUGUCUAGGCACGCUUUUUAAAUAACAAUACAAAGCUGAAAAUGAGUGAACUGCAGCUAAAAUCUUAUAUUCAUUUUUCACAUGGUCUAGUCCUCAUCUGAAGACUGCAAAAAACAAAGCCAUGCUUCCCCUGCCUGCCCCCCUAAUAUUCUUAAGAGGGUCUCUUCUCCAGUCUUUAAAGAGUGGCUGGAAGUGGGGAGGCAGAAAAAGGUCCUCCUUUCCUUCCACUCUGCAGUUUUAAUCUGAAAUCUUAGGAGCAGUACUGCACCCAGAGCUCAAAAACUGUUCACGCUAAUGAACUUCCAUAUUGCAAAACAUGCCUAGAACAAUGGGAGUUUUGAACGCUGUUCGCAUCAUCAAAUUCUGUUGAAUUGUAAUGUCAUCCAGAGGGUUCAGUUUUUUAGCCUAAGUGUUUCUUGUGCUGCUAUCUGAUUUGUGUGUGUUAAGAGCUGUCAUGUUGCUUUAAAUUCAGUAGAUAACCUGAUAUGUGUAAUAUUUGUGAUGGGUGUAGACUGGUUUUGACAGCAUCUGUUAUCUUCAUAGAGCCACCAUUCUGUGGUGUGCAGGAUCCUGCUUUGUCUGGAAUUUGAAGUAUUUGGAUUGUUACAUACUGAACUAGUUUAUUUAGAAAAUGUAUAAGCCACUUAAUCAAAGAGUGUUCUCCAGGUUUGGGUGUAAUGUUCCUGGUCCAACAAAGUAUAGCUUGUUGAAGUGGAAAAGAGCAACAAACUUAAAUAAGUGCUUCCUUAUCACAACCUCCAGUGGAGACUGUUUUGUUAAAUCACAGUUUCUCCAUUACAUUGCAACAGGAAGACUGGUUUUAACAAACCAGAAAAACUCUGUUUUGCAGCUAGGAAUGUGAGAGGAGAUGGGGGAAGGAAUGCUCUUGCUCAUUGCUUGUUCCAAGAACACAGACCAAAAAUGUUAAGUGUGAGCUGGGUCAGUGUGCCUUUUGCUUGGAUACUGUCCUGUACCUUCUGGUAGAACAGAGUGCUUUUUUUGCCCACUUCUGCCAAUAAGUAACAGAACCUUCCAGAAAGGCGCCCAGAAAAUUCAUUAGUCCAUUAGAAACAUUACCAUGCUAUUGGCAUGUACCUCUGGAGUGCAAAGCAUCUUGAACAGUGAGUCUGGCAUGUUUUAUCUUAAAGGAGUUGUACAUAUUUAUUUACAGUACUCUGAGAAACAAUUGUCCUAAGAGAAAGGUAAAACAAUAAGCUCAAAUAAUAUAUUUUUAAAUUGAUUAUACUUUGUAGCAGGCAUCCCCAGACUUCGGCCCUCCAGAUGUUUUGGACUACAAUUCCCAUCAUCCCUGACCACUGGUCCUGUUAGCUAGGACUCAUGGGAGUUGUAGGCCAAAACAUCUGGAGGACCACAGUUUGGAGAUGCCUGCUUUAUAGCCCACCUUUCCCCCCAAGAAGUUCAUGGUGCACAUAGUUUUCCCUCCCCAACUUAUCCACACAAUAAAUUUGUGAGGUAGGUUAGACAGAGAUACAGUGACUGGGACAAAGUCACCCAAUGAACUUCAUGGCCGAGUAGGGAUUUGAACUCUGGUCUCCCACAUCAUAGUUCAACACCCUAACCAUUAUAGUACACUGGCCCUUCUUUUAAGUCCCAUUGCAUUCAGGUAACUGUGUGGACUGCUGCCCCAGUGUAAGUCCCCAAUGAAACUUACUUCUGAGUAGACAUAAAUAAUAUAUGUGUAAGUCUUGUUACCAGAUGGACAAUGAACUGAUGAAAGGUGAAUGUGAAAAUAGAAUGUUAGUAAAAUUUGCAGGUGUCAUGUGACUUCAAGAAAAAAGGUGAAUAUUUUGCAGUGAUUCUCAGUUAGUUUAGCUGAGCCUGAAACCCUUGACUUCAUUUGUGUCCGUGAAGUUAUGGGUGGAGUGCAUGACUUGUAAAUACCACCUUUAUCCCAGAAGGGGAUGGAGUAACAUAACAUCAGUGCUCAACAGAAUUGCUGUCCUUGGGUAGAUUAGGAGUGGAGCAUUGCAUUAAUGAUAAAUUACCAUAGCAGAGUUUUGUCUUCUGCCCCCUGCCACUCUUCUCUGUGCUAAAAUGUGCUAUUAUGCCUCUUACAUAUUGCAAUAACUUUUCUGGGUUUAAAAGUAAACCUACAUAUGUUGUUAUUACAAAUUGGAAUGUGACUGCUUUAGUGAACUAACCAAUUAAGUGUUGAUCAAGACUUUUAAAGCAUUAACAUUGUAAGAAUAAGAAAGAAAAUAAUCAAUGAGUUGGAUACUUAUGCUAAGUACAAAAAACAAAGAUUGUUGUUACUGCCUUCCUACAUAACACUAAGCUAUAGUUUGUUUAAGAGUUGUCUCAUAGAUGAGCAAACAAGUCACGACUUGCUUUUCCAGAGCUUGGUUUAUUUCCCUGCUGCUGUUGCCUUUGUAGCUUGGUGAGUGUUUGGGGUUGGAUGGCUAAACCGACCAUAGUUAAGCAAGGCUGUCUGAUAUCAACAUAAUGCCAAACCAUAAUUAAAACAAGCCACGAUUCAUAAGCCAACAAAAAACCAAGGCUUCAUAUCUUGGUUUGUUGCCAGAAAAUGAACCAUGUUUCAGCCUGCUGGGCUCAGCCAGCAAGCAACCCACACAAUGGCUAAACAAAUCCUUUCUUAGCAUUAUGUGAACUGCUAGUAGGUAGUGCCUUUUGCCACUGGUUACUGCUGGUGUUGCUUUUUGGCAAUGCCUAUUGAAGCACUCAAAGUAGUUGACAGUUUUUAAAAAAUGGCUUACGAUCCAAUAUGAUCCAAAAAAGAAAAAUUCAAGCACCAGAGCUUUCAUAAUGGUACAUAAUGAAGUUGCAUGCAGAGGUGGUAUGUAGGAGACAGUUCAGGGAUGUGGAAGGUAGAGCCAAAUGGCUGCUGAUCCCAGCCUGGCUGUUGUGCCAAAAUGGUAUGUCCAAAAAAAGCUCCAUGGAAAACUUUACAUAUGUGUAUGUUUAAUAGGGGAUUCCAGCAAGUGUUUGCACAUGUGCCUGGUGUUCUUGAAUUGAUAUCGUGUUUAACUGUUGUAAUAAGGGUGUCAUUGUAAAAUGUUUUGAAUGCCUGUAUUCUGCAAUAAGACAGGCAUGAUAACUUCCUGUCACUAUGAAAAUUUUAGUGAGCAGAUGGUGCCUGGAGAUUUGCAGCAGUGUCGCUAGAAGAGUUUCAGUCAUUAAGCAGUUAGUAUAGCUGUUUAACUCAUUAGUUAAGGCUCAUUAAUGGGUAGUUGCCAAUAAAAAUGUAGUAAGCAGGUAGUUUACCUAUUUCCAGCAGAGUCUGGACAAGAUUCUCAUGUUCACACUUGUAUAGUUUGAGUAAGAAGCAUGAACUGAAGCAAAAAGGGAUUGGUGUACUCUAAGGAUGUGUCUUAAGUCUUUGGAGGAAGGGAAGUGAUUAGAGUGGUCUUCUUCCCUAGGCUCCUGCACUGCAGUUUGAUUAGUUAAGGUAGAUAAUCCCCACCCCUGCAUCUCUCUGCCAUAGGGUAAAAGAUUGCUGUGGCGAUGAGUCAUGCUUGUGUUUUAACUGCUGUUACUUGAAUGCUCUGGCAGUUCUAUUCCUUUUCACUACUAAGCUAGUUUGAACUGUGUUACAACUGUGUUUGCUUUCAUGCUCUGAACGAGUCUUCUAGAAAACUCAUUGUACUUGUUUUUCCCCUCAGUAUGUUGCAGGUUCCACAGAAUCUGAGCUGAAUAGAUACUUCAGGGAAACGCAGUAAAAGUUACGGAUUUGGAUUCCACCUUUGUGCAGGAAUUGUACAGAGAAAUACUGUUCUUCCUUAACCAAACUUUUAGUAGGUGCACAUGAUUUCUUAGAACAGCUGUGUCUGUUAUAAAUUAUUCAUAUGCAGACUGAGAACAAGUGGGAGAAGAAAGGUUGUUUCUCAACAUUCUGUAUCCUUGGUCUUCAUGGCCUUAAGUGUGUUGGUGGUGAAGCUGAGUGAAGCUGAUUCACUUUCUUGGGAUUGGUGGUUGUGGUUGGAAGUGAUUUCUAUGUUCUUCCCAACCUUAACUCUGGCAAAGUGGGAUUUGUCAUGGCAGGGGUCCCCAGAGUGUCUGCCUUUAUUUCUUUAGAAUUUUUUAUAGAUUUCCUUAGAAGAAUUUAUAUGGCUUAAUAAGAAAACUCUAAGCUGUCAACACUAUUUUUGUAUGUGCAAAUGCUAGGGGAUAUCUGUUUAAAAAAUGGUAGCUGUCACCUGCCUGACAUUGUGGCUUGGAGUUGGUGAUUUGCGGUUUUAACAACAGCACAAGAGAACUAGAAUGAGAAUGUUGAAGGUAUAAGCAGCGUUCAAAAGUAGCUGGGUGCCAGUUGCAUUUUAAGACAGGCUGCUGGCCUUUUGUGAGGCAAUGAAGAUGUCUGGGCACCAGGUUUGGUGCCUAACAUCUCCAUCUGGCUGGCUGGCGUGAGCAAUCAGUGGGUGUCAGGGAGCCACCAGGGGUCAAGCGGAGAGUCCGGUGAAGCGCAGCAAGUGCUAUCCGACGCUGUCAGAGCCCCAGCAUCCAGCUCCUGUCAGCUUCCUCCGGAAGGCGGGACAAAGGCUCAGGACGAGGUGCUGACCCUUAGAGAUGUAGGGGAGGCGAGGUUGCCAGAGAGAGGGCUACAGGGGAAGGACCAAGGCACUCAAGGGGUGGAGGCUCCACAGGGGGCAGAGCCGGUCCCUCAGCUAAGCAGCUCUAGCGGAGAGAGCGCUCCUCCAGCACCCUCACCCCAGCAGAGGAGGGGUGACAAGAGGAGGGACCAAAGGAGGAGGUUCAAGGUGCCUAGGGGGUUAUGCUGGAGGCGUUCACGAAGGGAGGUGUUUCCAGAUUCUGGAUCAGACAUGCUUUGUCUGGAUCAGACAUGAUACUCGGUCUUGUACAUAUGUAUAUUAAUAAAACCCUGUAAAAACCAAGCACCGGGUUGGAGCCACUUACUCGUGAGGAAGCUAUGCACACCAUUACAGUUGGUCUGCGGAGCAGCAUGCCUGCUGCACAAAUCAGCUGGUCUGCGGGGUAGCAGUGUCCCAUAGAUCACCUGGCUUGCCCAGCACCAAAAGAGGCAUGUCUUUUGGUACAGUGUGAGCUAGGUGAAUCUCCUCAGCUGGCCAGCCACUCCAGCUCCAGCCUUCAGUGGCUCCACUUAAUCCAGGAGGCUGGCAUUCUUGACUCCCUCUGCUGCUGAAUUGUCCACUGGUGCUAGGCCGCUUCCUGUUGUGCUGUUCUUGCUCAACAGAGGCUGCUUGGGCCUGGCCUUGUUUGGGCAAGCCCUGCAGCAGACAGCUGCUCCUGGUGGUGGCAGGGGAUGGCAGCAAAGGCAGCCAAGAAACCUUUUAGGGCUGCUGCCUGGAGCUCCACUGGCACUGCGGAUGUGGAGCUGCUUGUUCUGUUUCUCCAGCUGCUUCUCCAGCUCCUGCAGCUUCUGCACUUGGGCGUCAGGUUCACGUUGGAGUUAAUGUUCUCCAUGGUGCCCUGUGGCUCUACCCAACCCCAUGACCCUCUCUGCUGCCGCCUCCUCAUCCUCCUAUUCUUCCUCCAUCCCUUUCUCACAGUUGCCUUCUGCACUCUUCUACUUCAACAGUUGCAGAGUUCAGGUUGGUCCAUGCACAGGAUUCUAUAACUCACAGCAAAUCUUAUUGAUAUAUGUGAUUAUUUGGAUUUGAGAGUUUUUUGUUUGAGGAAUAUAGUGAUCAUGUGUCCUCACAAUUCCAGCUAAUGAAUGAGUUGAGAAUCCAAGUAUCUUCCAAAGUGAAAGUAUUGACUAUUAAUGCCUCUCCUUUUUUGCUGAAGGACUUUUGUUGAGAGUGUGGUGCAGGUUGUCAUGACUAUUUGAGCACUAUUUAGUGAUUGAUGGAUCCACUGACUUCUAUACAAAGUGUGCUGUGCUGUGCAGAGGUGUUGAACAGGACAAGAUACUGGUAGGUCAUUUCUGAGUUAGUUAGAUAUAUUGACAGUUUCUCCAGUAAGAUGGCAGCUGACAAGGCAUAGCUAUUACUUACUUGACAAAUUUAUGAUUACAGUACUGUACUCAGCAGAACUCAGCAAGAGAGCCCUUGUGUUGGCUUAAUUUUAUUAAACAUUUAUACUCAAUUUUAUAUAAUAUUUGUAUUUUGAAAAGCAGUUCACAAACUAGGAAAACAGUGAAACUCAAAAUGCAAUCUAAAUAAAAAUAAAUAUGAAGAUAACACAGGAGCAAAGUCAUAUAAUGAUCAAAGGCCAGUUGAAGUAAAAGUGUUUGUUAGUUAUUAGGGAAGAUAUUGUGUGGUGUUUUCUUGGCAGAGAAUUCACAAAAUCGGGUCUGCAACAGGGGAGGUCCUACUUCCAGUGGAUAUUAGCUUCGUGCAGUUGAAUUCAUUAGAAUAUCUUAUGUACUGGUGGAUUUGUAUGGGAGAAGAUGUUCUCUGACAAAAUCAGAUUAAAUCCAAUUGACAGCUAGUGCUAAUAUUUCAAAACAGGCUAUGUAUGUGAACCUGGGUCUACAUGUGAAUUUCUGUCUAUACCUGCUAACAUGCAGGCUGCCACAUUCUACACUAGCUAACGUUUCUGAAUCAUUUUUGAAAAAGCAGCUCCAGUCAUGAAAGGUACUGACCAGCUCUUCUAUCUUUUUAGCAGAAUUAGAUGCUAAUGGCUUUGGGCUAUACCUCUUUCCCUGUAACACUGUGGCUGGUUUAGCUUGAUUGGGCCGUCUAGAGUAGUUUGCUCUGUAUGUCUCUUUCUGCACAAUUCAUGCUCUCCAGUUAUGCUGUGGUUUGCCAAUAGAGUUUAAUAGACUUCAGCUGCCUGUUGGUUCCUACAUGAGUAUUCUUUGUAGUUCAGGGUGCUGGGGUUGUCUUGGAUCUGCACUAUGAUGUUGAUCGGGACGGCUUCUCAUUGGCCAAAGACUCUGGGUUGAUUGAAGGAAGGAGUCCAGAUAGUAUACUUGCAUGCUUUCAGUUCCACUGACUGACAACUGCUGUGUGCUGCACCCAUGGGGUUCAUAUUUAAACCACAAGAAGAGUAAAUGUAUGUAACAAAUGUCAAGCCAAGAAGUAUAUCUUACUGGUGAGGGGGUAGUGUUAGUGGGCAGGAGGGAGCUGCUUUGCAUCCAUGUUGUUGUAUCUCCUGAUAUUCUAACCAGAAUAGAAUAUAGAAUUGUAGAUUUGGAAGGGAUCGUGGGGCUCAUGUAAUCCAACUGCUUGCAAUGCAGGAAUCUUUUGCCCAGCAUGGUGCUUUAACCCUGUCUCAUGCUCUACCAACUGAACUAUCAUAGCACAGUCCUUUGGGAUUCCUGCUAACUGAGCUCUUUUUAAAAGUUCUGUUCACUUUUUAAAAAACGAAGCAAAUGGCUUAUCUCAAAGCAGUUACAGAUGUUGGAGUUCUUAACAGGAGGGAGCCAAUCCAGGUGGAUUUGUACAAUGAAAAUGCUGACUGAGGGAAAAAUUCCUCCUUCUAGCUCAAAUGUAUGUAAAAUCUCAUUUCAUAGCAAGACUUUGCAAAGGAAAGCCAGAGCAAGACAUUACUAAAAGCAAAAGCAUAAUUAGUUAUGCUCAGUGUAACAGCCGUGAAAACUGUGCCUUCAGUCUUCUUGCUUGCAUGAGCCUACUCCUCCUACUAAAGGAGUGUCAGUGCCAAUGCUGGGGCUGAUGGGAGUUUUAGUCCAAACAUCCAGAGCAGGCAUGCCCAAGAGGUAGUUCUUGAGCUACUGGUAGAUCAGGGGACGUCUGUGGUAGAUCAGCGGCUCCCCCCAAAGACGGUCAACAACUUUGUCACCCCUAAAAAAGCUCAACAUUUUUGCCCUGCACCCUCAAAAAAGUGAGUCUUUCCUAGAGAAAGAUCAACAGCUAUGACCUGAACCCCCCAAAAGGGGGUAGAUGGCAGUUUUUACUCUGUGAGUCUCUUGGGAGUUGGCCACCCCUGAUUUAGAGGGUACCAAGCUUUAAUGAAAUGAUCUGGUAGGGCUUUGAGACAGUAAAAGGUGAACAGGAACUUCAGUUGGAAUUUCCAGUAUUUGCCAAUAUUUGAAGAGUAGCUACCGGUAGUUCUAAGGUCACUAAAACAAUAGUUAUUGCUGUAAAUAGGUGGUAGGGAGCAAUCAGUGGGAUAUACAGUAAGUACGGUAUAUAUUAUAUUCUGCCUUUCCUUGUGCAGUCUAAGACAGUUAACACAAUAAUAAAAUGCCACAAACAAAAAACACCAUUAACAAUUAACCACUUAGAAUAGCUCAGUUGGUUAGAGUGUGGCGCUAAUAAUGCUGCGGUUGCAGGUUUGAUCCCUGAAAGGGCAGCUGUAUAUUCCUGCAUUGCAGGGUGUUGGGCUAGAUCAGGCAUAGGCAACCUUGGCUCUCCAGAUGUUUUGGAACUACAACUCCCACGAUCCCUGACCACUGGCCCUGUUAGCUAGGGAUCAUGGGAGUUGUAGUUCCAAAACAUCUGGAGAGCCAAGGUUGCCUAUGCCUGGGCUAGAUGAUCCUCGGUGUCCCCUCCAACUCUAUGAUUCUAAAAAACAGCAGCAAUAACAAUGGAAUAGAUUUGUACGAGUAUAAUAAGGCUGUUGGGAAAGAUUGAGGGCACAAGGAGAAGGGGACAACAGAGGACGAGAUGGUUGGACAGUGUUCUUGAAGCCAUGAACAUGAGUUUGACCAAGCUGCGGGAGGCAGUGGAAAACAGGAGUGCCUGGCGUGCUAUGGAUCAUGGGGUCACGAAGAGUCGGACACGACUAAACAGCAACAACAAUAAGGCUGAGCUGUAUGACCCAUCCUUGGAAAAAAGCCUUGACGCAGCAGUGGAAGGCUGAUGAGAGCUCCUUAGGCAGGGAGUUCUGAGUCUAGGCACAACAACAAAGAAAUGUGGACUUGGAGCAGACAGGAGGGUCCCUCUGUCGAUGAUCUUAAUGAGCCAGGCAGGCUCACAUGGAGAGAAGGAGGUCCUUCAGAUAUCUUGCUCAUAAAUCAGAAGACUUUAAAGGUCACACAUAACCAGCCUUUUCAGUUAGUCAGGAAACAAAUAGAGAGCUGGUGCAGCAGUUUCAACAGUGAGGUUAAUCAGCUACCUGGCUGUCACAUUUUGAACAAGCUGCGGCUGCUGGACACUUUCAAAGGCAGCCCCACAUAAAAUGCAUUUUCUUUGCAUGCAGACCACCAAUACAACAGUCCAUUAAUUUCAAUGUGUUUACCUUCGUUAAACCUUCGUAAGGUUUAAAAACCAGAUUCCAGUUAUUUUUUAAAUAGCCCAUUCAAGUCUGAAAUCAGCCUUAAUAGUAGUUAAUGGGUGUUGAGAAGGUACCGAGAUGAGAGUAAUAGUCAAAGUUUUAAAAGUAUGGGCAAUCUACUCCCACCAUCUGCUUUUACAAGGGAUUAUUAUUGUUGUGCCAUCUAACGGACUACCAGGCCUUUACCCACAACUUCAUUAGUGUUGCAGUAGUGUAAGGUGCUCACAAACAAAUGACUUGGGUUGUUCUUGGCACUUAAAUGAAAUAUGAACCCUUUUAGACAUAGGCAAGGCAAGUGUUGCCUUUGUUGAGAGAUUCAUCAGUGUAAGGUUUUCUAGAAUCCUGUGGCUUCUGGCCACAUGAAGUCUCAGCUGAGGGUCCCUCUGGGACUUCCACGAGAAGGUUGCCAAGCUGUUAUUGCAUUACCUUGUGCUCUGCUUCCUUUGUGGCCUUGGCUGAAUUUUUUUGGGCAAUUUGGACAAUGACUCUUUGUUGGAAGUGCCUUAUCAGUCACUUGGAUGUGGGUAGCGUGGGUCAAUGUCUCUUUUCUAAUUAAACUUUCCCUUUUAAAAUAUUUGAUUUAGACUGGCUUUUAAACUAAUUAAUUUUAAAAAUAAAGUCUGGUGGCAUCUUGAAGGCUAAUGGAAUAAUAAAAGCUUUCAUGAACAAUCUACCAACUGAGGAUAACAUUUCACACAUCUGCUGGAGUGGGCCAUGGCCCACAAAAGCUUUUGCCACAUAGAUUCUGUUGGUCUUUGCAAUGCCACAAUAGACUAACACACCUGCCUUUUGAUAAUUUGUCACUAUGAUUAAUUUAGCGUAGGCUUAAUGAACUGCAACAGCUCAAUGACUGCAUCUUUUGGGUGAUCUUGAAGGAAGUGGACCACAGCUUCUCUAGUUGAGAGAACUUAGUAGCAAGCUAGCAAGCUGCCACUUGAUGCUGGAAGGGAUAAGUAUUGUUCCUUUUCAACAAAUUUGCCAAAAUGUUAUCUAUUUGUAAUAGGGCAUAUAGGUUGCCAACCUGUCCCCAGAAGUGCCCUAACUCAUAAAAGUAUGCCAAAAUACAGCCGUACCUCCGUUUACAUAACCCUCUGGUUACGUAAACUUUGGGAUGCGCGCGGGGCAAACCCAGAAGUAUUUUACCGGGUUUCACUGCAUGCACAGAAGUGGUCCUCAGGUUGCAGAAACCUUGGAAACUGACUGGACCUCCAGAAUGGAUCCUGUCCGCAACCAGAGGUACCACUCUAUCUUGUGUAAAUUAAUAUGCCUGUUUAUACUAGUUAGGGGUUUCUUUGGACAAUAAUGCAUGAGACAUUCUAAAUUUCAAAGAAAAUGAUUCAGCAAUCUGUAUUAAGGAAGAUGAACUAUGAUUUCAGUUGAACGCUGCCAACUUCUGUUCUUUUUUUUAUUUAUCAGAAGGAAAGAAGACAGUUUCUAAUUUUGAAUUUGAAUCAUAGGGUUGGAAAGGGACCACAAGGUUUUUUUUUAUCCAACCACCUGCAAUGCAGGAAUCUUUUGCCCAAUGUGGAGCUUGAACCCAUUAUCCUGAGAUAGCCAUGCUCGUAUCAACUGAGCUAUCCUGGGUUAUGUGAAACAUUUUUAUCCUGCUCUUCACCCCAAAAGGAUUCUAGAGCUGCUUAUAGAUCUGUACAAUAGACAUUACCUGCCUUCACAUUUACAGUCUAAAAGGCCUGGUGCUGGAAAAUAAAUCCGUGGAGGAAUGUUAGGAAGACUGAAGCUUCAGUUCAGGGGUGGGGAACCUUUUUCAUCCAGAGAGACACAUUCAUUAGGGGAUGUAUGCCAGUGGUGGGUAGAAUUAGAGGCAAAAGUGGGCAUAUCAAUGGGUUUUUGUAUCAUAGGGAACAGCACAAAAGCCACCCACUCUCGCAUUUCUCUGCAAAACUCAUUGGUGAGCCAUAAUGCUUUAGAGCAGGGAUGUCCAACAGGUCAAUCGUGAUCUACUUGUAGAUCCCCGGGAGGUUUUGUUUGAUCAUGAACCCAGCCCCGCCCCCUCACUCUGCCCUCCAUUGUUGCACUAUCUGUACAACGGAAGACAUCCUCCCUAAAAAAAGCUCAACUUUGAACUGAACCCCCCAAAGGGGGUCGAUCACUGCCAGUUUUUAAUUCUGUGAGUAGAUCACAGUCUCAGGGGAGUUGGCCACUCCUGCUUUAGAGGAACAAUGUGAGUUCAUGAUUCCCUCUUGAGACCAUUGCUAUGUGAUUUCAGGAAAGCUACUAGGAUCAGUAAGCAUGCAUUGCUCUUAGGGGCUUGAAGAGUCAUCCAAGUUGCAUCUCAGUUAAUGUAAAAUUAGUAGAGGACAUUUGGCUUCAUUCUUCCUUUCGCUUGCUUUUCUUGAGGGAAAUCCCACCAUUUUUUAACCAACUCACCUUAACUUGGCAGGGCUAGAAACAUUCUGGGUGCUUGGUUGCUCAUGCCCUUCCACUGCUGAUGUCGAUGACUAUAAAUUUUAAAUAUGCAUCUAGACCACUGAACAAGAUCUUAGGGCUAUAUAUAGGUAUCUGUUCCAUUGUUAAAAUGUAUUGCCGGUUUGGGGUAUAUGUCCUGUCAAGAUGUAUGAACAAAAUUAUGCUGAUAUUUAAAGAAAGAAAAAGCUUAGCUUGGCCGUGUAUCCUAGUAGACAGUGUUAGAUACUGAGAUAGGAAUGACCGGGAGACUUCGUGACCAGAGGGAAGAGUCGGUGGAAGAAGACUGAAAGAAAUUUAAAGUUUAUUUAAAAAAUAAAUGUAAGAUUGGAAAUAAUUAAUAUAAGAACUGGAAGUAUAUGGAGGUUGCAGAGGAGGAUUGGUCGAGAAUUUACAGAUACAGUGGUACCUCUACUUACGAAUUUAAUGCGUUCCGAACGCACAUUUGUAAGUCGAAAAAAUUUGUAAGUCAAAUCCCAUAGGAAUGCAUUGGGAGAAAAAUUCGUAAGUAGAAACAACCCUAUCUAAAAAUUCGUAAGUAGAAAAAAUCCUAUCUAAACCGCAUCCAAGAUGGCGGACAGAGCUCUGUUCGUAAGUAGAAACAUUCGUAAGUAGAGUUAUUCGUAAGUAGAGGUACCACUCUAUUAAAUUUCAAAUAUGUGGAAAAAUUAUAUUGUUGAGUUCGCAUUAGAUAUAAAUGUCAAGGUAAAAUUGAUUGGUAUGUUAAGGAAGUAAUAAGAGAUAUUAUUUGACAGUGAAGUUAACCAGAGAAGAAUAUGUUUAUAUAACCUAUAAAUAAGAUUGGAAACAAGAUGUAGAAAGUACUAAAGAUGAUAUACAUUGUAACACAGUUGGGAAGUACUGGAGGAAGUCAACAAUGUAAGAAUAUAUGAUAGAUAAUUACAGUAGAGUCUUUUCUUUUUCUCUUUUUUGUUGUUGUUGUUUUGGUUUUAUAUAUUUUUUGUAUGCUUGUAUUCAUUUUCAGGUUUGUGUUUUUUUUCCUUUUUGUAUUUUUAAGCUUAUAAAAUAAAUAAAAAAUAUAUUUUUUUAAAAAAAAGUAAUGCUAGGAGCCAUGUGCUACUGGGACCUAGGUUGGGGGCCCAAAACAAAACGUCUAGGUGCCAUUUUUUGUUGUUGUUGCCCUGCUACCAAACCAGGCAGCCCCACCAAAAAACAAAACAAAAAACCCUGUGGGGAGAAUCAGGGUCUGCAGGGUAGCAUGGCAGCAAAAGAUGCAUUUUUUUGCUACCGCUCUACCCCGCCCAAACACCUGAUUCAUCUGGCAGUGCGACAGCAAAAUAAAGACACAUCCUUUGCUGUUACACUGCUGGGCAAAUCAGGUGUUUGGUGGGGGUAACGCUGCAGAAAAAGAUGUGCAUCUUUUGCUGCCGCUUUGCCCAGCAGCCCACAGCCAGGCAGGUGGAGAUGUUAGGUGCCAAGGAUGGCUCCUGGACAUCUUCAUCCAGAUGCAUCAGGCCGGCUUAUUUUGAACACUGCUAGUAGAUGAGAAGGCACAUGGCUAAAAUGCUUUGUUGCUGCCUUGCUUGGAUGAAGCAAAAAACAAUUCAGUAGGACCACUGUGGAUUAGAGGAGCACUCUUUUUGCGUACACUCUCUGUGCUAAAUAGGCUUAUGGCAAGCUGUUUUAAGAGAAGUGGACUCCUUUGUCGUUUAAAAAUACCACAUCCUGUUUGCUGGGAUAUGGAUCUCAUUGAAAGGCUAUAUAAAGCUUGUCUCUUUCCACCCACUGCGUUGACUGUAGAAAACGAAAUGGUCUUCUCCUUUUCUUCCCCCCCA
Molecule: non-coding RNA, 18959 nt
Organism: Zootoca vivipara (common lizard)
Lineage: Eukaryota; Metazoa; Chordata; Lepidosauria; Squamata; Lacertidae
Source: RefSeq, a predicted model, not a curated record